CCGCAAGGUUGAAACUCAAAGGAAUUAACGCGGACCCGCACAAGCGGUGGAGCAUGUGGUUUAAUUCGAAGCAACGCGAAGAACCUUACCAAAUCUUGACAUCCUCUGACCCCUCUAGAGAUAGAGUUUUCCCCUUCGGGGGACAGAGUAACAGGUGGUGCAUGGUUGUCGUCAGCUCGUGUCGUGAGAUGUUGGGUUAAGUCCCGCAACGAGCGCAACCCUUAAGCUUAGUUGCCAUCAUUAAGUUGGGCACUCUAAGUUGACUGCCGGUGACAAACCGGAGGAAGGUGGGGAUGACGUCAAAUCAUCAUGCCCCUUAUGAUUUGGGCUACACACGUGCUACAAUGGACAAUACAAAGGGCAGCGAAACCGCGAGGUCAAGCAAAUCCCAUAAAGUUGUUCUCAGUUCGGAUUGUAGUCUGCAACUCGACUAUAUGAAGCUGGAAUCGCUAGUAAUCGUAGAUCAGCAUGCUACGGUGAAUACGUUCCCGGGUCUUGUACACACCGCCCGUCACACCACGAGAGUUUGUAACACCCGAAGCCGGUGGAGUAACCAUUUGGAGCUAGCC
RNAcentral lists this ribosomal RNA (569 nucleotides) under uncultured Staphylococcus sp. RNAcentral describes it as "bacterial SSU rRNA". It matches the Rfam family "Bacterial small subunit ribosomal RNA", at positions 886 to 1454 of the family's 1533-position model. The record is from RNAcentral. Lineage: Bacteria; Bacillati; Bacillota; Bacilli; Caryophanales; Staphylococcaceae.